GAUGAACGCUAGCGGCGUGCUUAACACAUGCAAGUCGAACGAAGCACUUUAACUUGAUUUUUUCGGAAUGAUAGUUAUUGUGACUGAGUGGCGGACGGGUGAGUAACGCGUGGGUAACCUGCCUCAUACAGGGGGAUAACAGUUGGAAACGACUGCUAAUACCGCAUAAGCGCACGGUAUCGCAUGAUACAGUGUGGAAAACUCCGGUGGUAUGAGAUGGACCCGCGUCUGAUUAGCUAGUUGGCGGAGUAACGGCCCACCAAGGCAACGAUCAGUAGCCGACCUGAGAGGGUGACCGGCCACAUUGGGACUGAGACACGGCCCAAACUCCUACGGGAGGCAGCAGUGGGGAAUAUUGCACAAUGGGCGAAAGCCUGAUGCAGCGACGCCGCGUGAACGAUGAAGUAUUUCGGUAUGUAAAGUCCUAUCAGCAGGGAAGAAGAAUGACGGUACCCGACUAAGAAGCACCGGCUAAAUACGUGCCAGCAGCCGCGGUAA
This 498-nucleotide ribosomal RNA is filed under the name uncultured bacterium. Its description in RNAcentral is "partial 16S ribosomal RNA". It matches the Rfam family "Bacterial small subunit ribosomal RNA", at positions 28 to 523 of the family's 1533-position model. The record is from RNAcentral.